CUUAACCUCGGAAUUGCAGUCGAUACUGCUGUGACUCGAGUCCGGUAGAGGAGAAUGGAAUUCUCGGUGUAGCGGUGAAAUGCGCAGAUAUCGAGAGGAACACCAGUAGCGAAGGCGGUUCUCUGGGCCGGCACUGACGCUGAGGAGCGAAAGCGUGGGGAGCAAACAGGAUUAGAUACCCUGGUAGUCCACGCCGUAAACGUUGGAUACUAGGUGUGGCGGUUGUACCAACGACUGCCGUGCCGAAGCUAACGCAUUAAGUAUCCCGCCUGGGGAGUACGGCCGCAAGGCUAAAACUCAAAGGAAUUGACGGGUCCCCGCACAAGCGGCGGAGCAUGCGGCUUAAUUCGAUGCAACCCGAAGAACCUUACCUGGGUUUGACAUCACGGGAAAAACUGUANAAAUACAGUGUCCGUAAGGGNCC
RNAcentral lists this ribosomal RNA (424 nucleotides) under uncultured bacterium. RNAcentral describes it as "bacterial SSU rRNA". It matches the Rfam family "Bacterial small subunit ribosomal RNA", at positions 608 to 1028 of the family's 1533-position model. The record is from RNAcentral.